Molecule: long non-coding RNA, 561 nt
Organism: Balaenoptera acutorostrata (minke whale)
Lineage: Eukaryota; Metazoa; Chordata; Mammalia; Artiodactyla; Balaenopteridae
Exons: 3
Source: RefSeq, a predicted model, not a curated record
CCGGGGCGAAGCGCCCCCCUGGAACUUCCCGCAGACUUCGGGGGCCCUCAGGACACGCGUUCCACUGGCGUCCAGGAGGGCCCGGGUCGUCUCAGACGCACUAGCAGCAGAGAACACAGCGGCGUGAACUGCGGCCCCAGCAAGCCCAGCACUCUUUCUCCUCGGGGAGCGAGACCCAGGAACUCCUCUGCCCUGUGCGGGGCCACUGGCCACCAUGUCCAGUCCCACCAACAACGCCACCAGGCCUGCUGUUCCAUACGGUCAUUUCCAAAAGGUGGAAAAUUUGUACAUUAAUAUGUUGCUCCACUGUCUUCUGGCUUGCUUUGUUUCCAACAAGAAGUUGCUAUCGGGGCUUCCCUGGUGGCGCAGUGGUUGAGAAUCUGCCUCCCAAUGCCGGGCACAUGGGUUCGAGCCCUGGUCUGGGAAGAUCCCACAUGCCGCAGAGUGGCUGGGCCCGUGAGCCACAACUACUGAGCCUGCGCGUCUGGAGCCUGUGCUCUGCAAUGGGAGGGGCCGCGGCAGUGAGAGGCCCGCGCACCGCGAUGAAGAGUGGCCCCCGCU